Molecule: ribosomal RNA, 485 nt
Filed under: uncultured bacterium
Lineage: Bacteria
Description: bacterial SSU rRNA
Rfam family: Bacterial small subunit ribosomal RNA
Source: RNAcentral
GAUGAACGCUGGCGGCGUGCUUAACACAUGCAAGUCGAACGAUGAAGCCCAGCUUGCUGGGUGGAUUAGUGGCGAACGGGUGAGUAACACGUGAGUAACCUGCCCUUAACUCUGGGAUAAGCCUGGGAAACUGGGUCUAAUACCGGAUAGGAGCGUCCACCGCAUGGUGGGUGUUGGAAAGAUUUAUCGGUUUUGGAUGGACUCGCGGCCUAUCAGCUUGUUGGUGAGGUAAUGGCUCACCAAGGCGACGACGGGUAGCCGGCCUGAGAGGGUGACCGGCAACACUGGGACUGAGACACGGCCCAGACUCCUACGGGAGGCGGCAGUGGGGAAUAUUGCACAAUGGGCGAAAGCCUGAUGCAGCGACGCCGCGUGAGGGAUGACGGCCUUCGGGUUGUAAACCUCUUUCAGUAGGGAAGAAGCGAAAGUGACGGUACCUGCAGAAGAAGCACCGGCUAACUACGUGUCAGCAGCCGCCGUAAAAC